UGGUAAUGCAUUACAGGUACGUAAUCAGAUUACUUUUUUCAAGUAACUGUAACACAUUGCUUUUUAAUUAACAAGAAAAUAAGUAACAAGUUACUUUGUUUUCCCAUGUAUUAACUGACAGUUCUUCUGUCCCUGUGUUAAAAGAGAAAUCAGGAGUAACUGUUGCUGAGUAAGGCGUUGUGUGAAUAUGAUGCUUAAUGUAACUCUAGACUAAAUGUGAACAUGCAUUUGCUAAAAAAAAACUUUUUUAUGUAAAAAAAAAAACAAGCAAGCCCAGCCCAAAUUUAAAAAGUAAUGCAAACGUAACACAAAAGUAAUGUAACAUUUUACUUACCACAAAACGUAACAAAGUAACCUAACUAGUUACUUUUUAAGGAAGUAACACAUUUUUUAAAGUGUCUUUUGGGUUUUUGUUUUUCAAAAAAUAAAUCAGCAAGCCCAGGCCAGGUGACAAUUACACACAAAAGUAACACAAUGCAUUAUGUUCCAUAAAAAGUAACUAAUUAGUUACUUUUUUAUGGCGUAAUGCAAUAUUGUAAUGCAUUACUUUCAAAAAUAGCUUUCCCUAACACUGCCUGUUGCAAAUUAAAACUCCCAGCCCUUGCUUUUAGUAUUCUUUUAUAGUCAUACUUGUGGCUUCAUUUGUUUAACACUUUCUUCCUCUGCAGGUCAGGUUCAGGAUGAUUGUUAUGAUCUGUCACUGGUCACUUCAGCCAGUCACUACAAGAAGACAAAAAUACAUCUCAGCUUACUUUCCAAGCCGUUCCUCUGUCUUUACCUGUCUGUGUCAUCUCACUGCACGCAGACGGUGGGCUCUGGCAGGUCUCACACAUCUUCCCGUCUGAAUGAGCAAGCGUCUGUCCCCUUCAUCCUUCAUUCCUCCGUCCAGAUGAAAGGCUCCAGCAUUCCUCCCUCUGCUUGUGUGGUCUCUCCAGUAGGAGCGACGUAAUGCUGUCACCGCUGGCCCAGCAUGCAUGUGUUUGUGUGUUUAGACCCGCUCUCACUGAUGGCUGAUGGUCAUUUUCCACCUGAGAGGUUCAUGGAUGUUUAUUGUUCAGUAGAAUUGGGAGCAUAUUUCAGCGGAGGUCAUGCUGAGUGAGAAUUUCGCUCACUGUCCUUAUGGAUUUUCCCGUUCCUCCUCUAGCAGGCUGGUGAUAUACAGUGUGAGGUCUAUCUCUGAUCUCGAGCGAUAGAAAUGUCAUAGCUUAUAUUCAGCUGAUAUAUUUUAAUGAGGUCUGAAUAUGUUAAUAUGAGAAGCAUGUGUAUGCUGAAGUAUUAUAACAGAUGGUUUAGUGGAUCAGUCACAUUCUUCUCAGAAGUCUGUCGACACCGUCAAGUGUGAGAGGCUUGCUAAGGAUGCUGGGUAAAUGGAUGAGAAUUCCUGAAAGUCAGAAGAAACAAAUAAGAAAGCAAUUCUUUAUAACUAUUUUUGUCUCCAGAUCUAUCAGUUAAUCAUAAUGCCGUCAAUGCAUCGGUUAACAAAAAAAAAAUGAAAUUUUACACCAGUGUCAUAUUUCAAGCCUCAAUCGAAUUAAAGAAAAAUAUGGAAUUCUAUUUUGCAAACAGUAUAAUGUAAAAGUAAGCUAUUUUUAUUGCAACCUUAUUUGAGUGACAAUUAAGCACAUUUUAUUUGUCAGUAGCCUGAUACAAAAGAAAAAAAAGCUCAUUCUCAUUACAGUUUAAAAAUAAAAAAUAAAUAAACAGUAAGUUUUGAGAGAUA
Cyprinus carpio (common carp) is the source of this 1720-nucleotide long non-coding RNA. Lineage: Eukaryota; Metazoa; Chordata; Actinopteri; Cypriniformes; Cyprinidae. The record is from Ensembl.